AGCACAGAGAGCUUGCUCUCGGGUGACGAGUGGCGGACGGGUGAGUAAUGUCUGGGAAACUGCCUGAUGGAGGGGGAUAACUACUGGAAACGGUAGCUAAUACCGCAUAACGUCGCAAGACCAAAGAGGGGGACCUUCGGGCCUCUUGCCAUCAGAUGUGCCCAGAUGGGAUUAGCUAGUAGGUGGGGUAACGGCUCACCUAGGCGACGAUCCCUAGCUGGUCUGAGAGGAUGACCAGCCACACUGGAACUGAGACACGGUCCAGACUCCUACGGGAGGCAGCAGUGGGGAAUAUUGCACAAUGGGCGCAAGCCUGAUGCAGCCAUGCCGCGUGUAUGAAGAAGGCCUUCGGGUUGUAAAGUACUUUCAGCGGGGAGGAAGGUGUUGUGGUUAAUAACCACAGCAAUUGACGUUACCCGCAGAAGAAGCACCGGCUAACUCCGUGCCAGCAGCCGCGGUAAUACGGAGGGUGCAAGCGUUAAUCGGAAUUACUGGGCGUAAAGCGCACGCAGGCGGUCUGUCAAGUCGGAUGUGAAAUCCCCGGGCUCAACCUGGGAACUGCAUUCGAAACUGGCAGGCUAGAGUCUUGUAGAGGGGGGUAGAAUUCCAGGUGUAGCGGUGAAAUGCGUAGAGAUCUGGAGGAAUACCGGUGGCGAAGGCGGCCCCCUGGACAAAGACUGACGCUCAGGUGC
RNAcentral lists this ribosomal RNA (692 nucleotides) under Enterobacter cloacae. Its description in RNAcentral is "bacterial SSU rRNA". It matches the Rfam family "Bacterial small subunit ribosomal RNA", at positions 68 to 754 of the family's 1533-position model. The record is from RNAcentral. Lineage: Bacteria; Pseudomonadati; Pseudomonadota; Gammaproteobacteria; Enterobacterales; Enterobacteriaceae.